RNAcentral lists this long non-coding RNA (209 nucleotides) under Gossypium barbadense (sea-island cotton). Its description in RNAcentral is "long non-coding RNA (GBAR_LNC015393)". Lineage: Eukaryota; Viridiplantae; Streptophyta; Magnoliopsida; Malvales; Malvaceae. The record is from RNAcentral.
GAGGAGCGCACUAAUCUGACUUCGGAGAAAUACUAGAUUUGCUUUCUAGUUUCGUACUCUUUAAUUUUCUUGUUUAUGUUGUGAUCAUGAACAUGAAUAUUUGUUGUGUUGUUAUUCUUGAUUUAAUUAAAAUGACUUAAUUUAAUUUAUGUUAGGUUGAUUGCAUUCUGUCCACUUAAAUUAUUAUAAUCGUGUUCGUGUUGUUAUUA